GACGAACGCUGGCGGCGUGCUUAACACAUGCAAGUCGAACGAUGAAAUUCUGACGGAGGCUUCGGCCAACUGAGGGAUGGAUUAGUGGCGGACGGGUGAGUAACGCGUGAGUAACCUGCCUUUCAGAGUGGAAUAACAUUUGGAAACGAAUGGUAAUACCGCAUAACGUCACGAGGUCGCAUGACCUUGUGACCAAAGGAGCAAUCCGCUGAAAGAUGGACUCGCGUCCGAUUAGCUAGUUGGAGAGGUAACAGCUCCCCAAGGCGACGAUCGGUAGCCGGACUGAGAGGUUGAACGGCCACAUUGGGACUGAGACACGGCCCAG
RNAcentral lists this ribosomal RNA (325 nucleotides) under uncultured bacterium. Its description in RNAcentral is "bacterial SSU rRNA". It matches the Rfam family "Bacterial small subunit ribosomal RNA", at positions 28 to 334 of the family's 1533-position model. The record is from RNAcentral.